Molecule: transfer RNA, 66 nt
Filed under: Corthylus rubricollis
Lineage: Eukaryota; Metazoa; Arthropoda; Insecta; Coleoptera; Curculionidae
Description: tRNA-Asp
Source: RNAcentral
AAAAAUUUAGUUAAACUAUAACAAUAGCUUGUCAAGCUAUAAUUAAUAAAUAUUUAUUAAUUUUUA